AGAGUUUGAUCAUGGCUCAGGAUGAACGCUAGCUACAGGCUUAACACAUGCAAGUCGAGGGGAAACGACAUCGAAAGCUUGCUUUUGAUGGGCGUCGACCGGCGCACGGGUGAGUAACGCGUAUCCAACCUGCCCACCACUUGGGGAUAACCUUGCGAAAGUAAGACUAAUACCCAAUGACGUCUCUAGAAGACAUCUGAAAGAGAUUAAAGAUUUAUCGGUGAUGGAUGGGGAUGCGUCUGAUUAGCUUGUUGGCGGGGUAACGGCCGCCAAGGCUACGAUCAGUAGGGGUUCUGAGAGGAAGGUCCCCCACAUUGGAACUGAGACACGGUCCAAAACUCCUACGGGAAGCCA
Molecule: ribosomal RNA, 354 nt
Filed under: uncultured bacterium
Lineage: Bacteria
Description: bacterial SSU rRNA
Rfam family: Bacterial small subunit ribosomal RNA
Source: RNAcentral